AGUGAUUAAACUGAAGAGUUUGAUCCUGGCUCAGAUUGAACGCUGGCGGCAUGCCUUACACAUGCAAGUCGAGCGGCAGCGCGGGGGCAACCCUGGCGGCGAGCGGCGAACGGGUGAGUAAUACAUCGGAACGUGCCCAGUAGCGGGGGAUAACCAGUCGAAAGAUUGGCUAAUACCGCAUACGAUCUACGGAUGAAAGCGGGGGACCGCAAGGCCUCGCACUAUUGGAGCGGCCGAUGUCGGAUUAGCUAGUUGGCGGGGUAAGAGCCCACCAAGGCGACGAUCCGUAGCUGGUCUGAGAGGAUGAUCAGCCACACUGGAACUGAGACACGGUCCAGACUCCUACGGGAGGCAGCAGUG
Molecule: ribosomal RNA, 360 nt
Filed under: Betaproteobacteria bacterium SG8_41
Lineage: Bacteria; Pseudomonadati; Pseudomonadota; Betaproteobacteria
Description: bacterial SSU rRNA
Rfam family: Bacterial small subunit ribosomal RNA
Source: RNAcentral